GCCUGGACAGCUCAGUUGGUUAGACCAUGAUGUUGAGAACGCCAAGGUUGCAGGUUCGAUCCCCAUAUGGGACG
Podarcis lilfordi (Lilford's wall lizard) is the source of this 74-nucleotide non-coding RNA. The record is from the annotation of a GenBank genome assembly. NCBI's taxonomy places the organism in Eukaryota, Metazoa, Chordata, Lepidosauria, Squamata, Lacertidae.